GAUCCACAAAGCUGCCUCCCGGGCCAAGCCUGGAAGCUGGAGAGGAUGAUGAAGAAGACGACAAUGGACCUGAACAUAAGAGAUGCGAAGAAGAGGACUGCUCUACACUGGGCCUGUGCCAAUGGCCAUGCAGAAGUAGUAACACUUCUGGUAGAUAGAAAGUGCCAGCUUGACGUCCUUGAUGGUGAAAACAGGACAACUCUGACGAAGGCUCUGCAAUGCCAGAGGGAGGCUUGUGCAAAUAUUCUCAUAGAUUCUGGUGCUGAUCCAAAUAUUGUAGAUGUGUAUGGCAACACAGCUGUCCAUUAUGCUGUUAACAGUGAGAAUUUGUCAGUGGUGGCAAAAUUGCUGUCCUGUGGUGCAGACAUUGAAGUGAAGAACAAGGCUGGCCACACACCACUUUUAUUGGCCAUAAGGAAAAGAAGUGAGCAAAUUGUGGAAUUUUUACUGACAAAAAAUGCAAAUGCAAAUGCAGUUGAUAAGUUUAAAUGCACAGCCCUCAUGCUUGCCAUAUGUCAUGGAUCAUCAGAGAUAGUUGGCAUGGUUCUUCAGCAAAAUGUUGACAUCUGUGCUGAAGCUACAUGUGGAAUGAUUGCAGAACUUUAUGCUGUUGCUUGUGGAUUUAAUCUCUAAGUGUUUACAUUUAAAGGCUAGGUGAGAUUUUAUAGUUUGUUUC
Molecule: small RNA, 676 nt
Filed under: Pan troglodytes (chimpanzee)
Lineage: Eukaryota; Metazoa; Chordata; Mammalia; Primates; Hominidae
Description: processed transcript
Source: RNAcentral